AUUGAACGCUGGCGGCAUGCUUUACACAUGCAAGUCGAACGGCAGCGCGGGCUUCGGCCUGGCGGCGAGUGGCGAACGGGUGAGUAAUACAUCGGAACGUGCCCAGUAGUGGGGGAUAGCUCGGCGAAAGCGGGAUUAAUACCGCAUACGACCUGAGGGUGAAAGCGGGGGAUCUUCGAACCUCGCGCUAUUGGAGCGGCCGAUGGCAGAUUAGCUAGUUGGUGGGGUAAAGGCCUACCAAGGCGACGAUCUGUAGCUGGUCUGAGAGGACGACCAGCCACACUGGGACUGAGACACGGCCCAGACUCCUACGGGAGGCAGCAGUGGGGAAUUUUGGACAAUGGGCGAAAGCCUGAUCCAGCAAUGCCGCGUGUGUGAUGAAGGCCUUCGGGUUGUAAAGCACUUUUGGCGGGAACGAAAAGGACUGUGCCAAUACCACGGUUCGAUGACGGUACCCGCAGAAUAAGCACCGGCUAACUACGUG
This 484-nucleotide ribosomal RNA is filed under the name uncultured bacterium. RNAcentral's name for it is "partial 16S ribosomal RNA". It matches the Rfam family "Bacterial small subunit ribosomal RNA", at positions 29 to 507 of the family's 1533-position model. The record is from RNAcentral.